RNAcentral lists this ribosomal RNA (485 nucleotides) under Pseudomonas sp. AP42. Its description in RNAcentral is "bacterial LSU rRNA". It matches the Rfam family "Bacterial large subunit ribosomal RNA", at positions 1 to 527 of the family's 2925-position model. The record is from RNAcentral. Lineage: Bacteria; Pseudomonadati; Pseudomonadota; Gammaproteobacteria; Pseudomonadales; Pseudomonadaceae.
GUUAUAUGGUCAAGUGAAGAAGCGCAUACGGUGGAUGCCUUGGCAGUCAGAGGCGAUGAAAGACGUGGUAGCCUGCGAAAAGCUUCGGGGAGUCGGCAAACAGACUUUGAUCCGGAGAUGUCUGAAUGGGGGAACCCAGCCAUCAUAAGAUGGUUAUCUUGUACUGAAUACAUAGGUGCAAGAGGCGAACCAGGGGAACUGAAACAUCUAAGUACCCUGAGGAAAAGAAAUCAACCGAGAUUCCCUUAGUAGUGGCGAGCGAACGGGGACUAGCCCUUAAGUGGCUUUGAGAUUAGCGGAACGCUCUGGAAAGUGCGGCCAUAGUGGGUGAUAGCCCUGUACGCGAAAAUCUCUUAGUCAUGAAAUCGAGUAGGACGGAGCACGAGAAACUUUGUCUGAAUAUGGGGGGACCAUCCUCCAAGGCUAAAUACUACUGACUGACCGAUAGUGAACUAGUACCGUGAGGGAAAGGCGAAAAGAACCCC